GACGAACGCUGGCGGCGUGCCUAAUACAUGCAAGUAGAACGCACAGUUUAUACCGUAGCUUGCUACACCAGAGACUGUCAGUUGCGAACGGGUGAGUAACCCGUAGGUAACCUUCCUGAUAGCGUGGGGUAACUAUUGGCAACGAUAGCUAAUACCGCAUACUGUUUAUUAUUGCAUGAUAAUUUAUUGAAAGAUGCUAUUGCAUCACUACCAGAUAGACUUGCGUUGUAUUAGCUAGUAGGUGAGGUAACGGCUCACCUAGGCGAGGAUACAUAGCCGACCUGAGAGGGUGAUCGGCCAGACUGGGAGUGAGACCCGGCCCAGACUCCUACGGGAGGCAGCAGUAGGGAAUCGUCGGCAAUGGACGAAAGUCUGACCGAGCAACGCCGCGUGAGUGAAGAAGGUUUUCGGAUCGUAAAGCUCUGUUGUAAGAGAAGAACGGGUGUGAGAGUGGAAAGUUCACACUGUGACGGUAUCUUACCAGAAAGGGACGGCUAACUACGUG
This 505-nucleotide ribosomal RNA is filed under the name uncultured bacterium. Its description in RNAcentral is "partial 16S ribosomal RNA". It matches the Rfam family "Bacterial small subunit ribosomal RNA", at positions 28 to 507 of the family's 1533-position model. The record is from RNAcentral.